Molecule: ribosomal RNA, 253 nt
Filed under: uncultured bacterium
Lineage: Bacteria
Description: partial 16S ribosomal RNA
Rfam family: Bacterial small subunit ribosomal RNA
Source: RNAcentral
UACGUAGGGACCAAGCGUUGUUCGGAUUUACUGGGCGUAAAGGGCGCGUAGGCGGCAAUUCAAGUCAGCUGUGAAAUCUCCGGGCUUAACUCGGAACGGUCAGCUGAUACUGCUUUGCUAGAGUGCAGAAGGGGCAAUCGGAAUCCUUGGUGUAGCGGUGAAAUGCGUAGAUAUCAAGAGGAACACCUGAGGUGAAGACGGGUUGCUGGGCUGACACUGACGCUGAGGCGCGAAAGCUAGGGUAGCAAACGGG